Molecule: ribosomal RNA, 460 nt
Filed under: uncultured bacterium
Lineage: Bacteria
Description: partial 16S ribosomal RNA
Rfam family: Bacterial small subunit ribosomal RNA
Source: RNAcentral
CCUACGGGAGUCAGCAGUGAGGAAUAUUGGUCAAUGGACGAGAGUCUGAACCAGCCAAGUAGCGUGAAGGAUGACUGCCCUAUGGGUUGUAAACUUCUUUUAUAUGGGAAUAAAAUGUUCCACGUGUGGGAUUUUGUAUGUACCAUAUGAAUAAGGAUCGGCUAACUCCGUUCCAGCAGCCGCGGUAAUACGGAGGAUCCGAGCGUUAUCCGGAUUUAUUGGGUUUAAAGGGAGCGUAGGUGGAUUGUUAAGUCAGUUGUGAAAGUUUGCGGCUCAACCGUAAAAUUGCAGUUGAAACUGGCAGUCUUGAGUACAGUAGAGGUGGGCGGAAUUCGUGGUGUAGCGGUGAAAUGCUUAGAUAUCACGAAGAACUCCGAUUGCGAAGGCAGUUCACUGGACUGCAACUGACACUGAGGCUCGAAAGUGUGGGUAUCAAACAGGAUUAGAUACCCUUGUAGUC